Molecule: ribosomal RNA, 242 nt
Filed under: uncultured bacterium
Lineage: Bacteria
Description: partial 16S ribosomal RNA
Rfam family: Bacterial small subunit ribosomal RNA
Source: RNAcentral
CGAGCGUUGUUCGGAAUCAUUGGGCGUAAAGGGCGCGUAGGUGGUUCUGUAUGUCUACCGUGAAAGCGUACGGCUCAACCGUAUUUUGUCGGUAGAAACUGCAGGACUUGAGGCUGGGAGGGGCUGGUGGAAUUCCCUGUGUAGCGGUGAAAUGCGUAGAGAUGGGGGAGAACACUCGUGGCGAAGGCGGCCAGCUAGACCAGUUCUGACACUGAGGCGCGACAGCGUAGGGAGCAAACAGG